GACAGAGGGUGCAAACGUUGUUCGGAAUUACUGGGCGUAAAGCGAGUGUAGGCGGUCUGCUAAGUCGGGUGUGAAAGCCCCGGGCUCAACCCGGGAAGUGCACUCGAAACUGGCAGGCUAGAGUAUCGGAGAGGUUGGUGGAAUUCUCGGUGUAGAGGUGAAAUUCGUAGAUAUCGGGAGGAACACCAGUGGGGAAGGCGACUUCCUGGCCUGUUCUUGACGCUGAGGCGCGAAAGCUAGGGGAGCAAACGGG
This 253-nucleotide ribosomal RNA is filed under the name uncultured bacterium. RNAcentral describes it as "partial 16S ribosomal RNA". It matches the Rfam family "Bacterial small subunit ribosomal RNA", at positions 524 to 776 of the family's 1533-position model. The record is from RNAcentral.